Molecule: long non-coding RNA, 3540 nt
Filed under: Homo sapiens (human)
Lineage: Eukaryota; Metazoa; Chordata; Mammalia; Primates; Hominidae
Description: HSALNT0339263
Source: RNAcentral
GUGGAAUGAAAAAACUAAAGAGACAACUGACUUACCACACAAAUGGACUAUGGUAGAAGCUGCUGUCCCUUAGUAUUGAAUAUCUCUAUUUUCUUUUAAUCAUAGAAUUCACUGAUAUUUUAGCAGAUAAUGUGGCCGUCCAGGCAGGCAUGAGAUUUCUCAGCCUUACUUCAACUUGAUUAUGACCAUGUGACCCAAUUCUGACAUUUGCCUAAAGGAAAAUUUACCUAAAAAGGCGUUUUCUUGCUAUGGCAGUGUAACCUGUACUAAUAAAUAUAGUGCUAGUCCUGCAUGCAACAAAAAUGAUGGUUUUAACCUGCCCAAAGGAUGGAAAAAGAAGAACAUAAGCAUAAUUUCUGAAUGCAUCACGGCAAAGAUGCAUGUACUCAUGAAGCAUAAAAUUAAAAAUAUGAUACAUUCACUACAUGAAAAUAUGAUAUACGGUUUUUCUUCAGUAUCCGCGGGAGAUUGGCUCGAGGAACCCCAUGGAUACCAACAUCCUUGAAUGCUCAAGUCCCUUAUAUAAAACGGCAUAGUAUUUGCAUAAAACCUAUACCAUUCUCCUGUAUACUCUAAGUCAUCUCUGCGUUACUUAUAAUACCUAAUACAGUGUAAACGCUGUGUAAACAGUUGUUAUACUAUAUUGGUUUUUUAAUUUGCAUUACUUUUGUAUUGUUGUAUUAUUUUAUUGUUUUUCCCCAAAUAGUUUUGAUCCGCAGAUGUAGAACCCACAGAUAUGAUAAAUCAACUGUAUCUAGUACCCAAAACAGAUGAGUAACUUAGAAAUUAAUAUGUAAUACAUACAGCUAAUGUUAUAGCUACUUAAGGAAUUCCUUUCACUGAAAAGAAACUCUUACAAAUCAAUGAGUCAACAACCCAAUGGAAAAAUGGCCAAAAGACAUGAAUAGAAGUUCACAGAAAAGAAUGAAAAUGACCAGUAAAUAAUGAAAAGAUGUUCUAAGACACUCUUAAUUAAAUAAAUUCACAAUAAAAUAAUCAUACUUUUAUCUAUCUACCAGAUUAGCAAAUGUUAAAAUAUUAAAAUGUUAGUGGUCAUCAAAAUGUAGGGUUACAGGUUCACCCAUACACUGUUAAUAGAUGUAUAAACUGGUCAAAACUUUUUGAUCCAUAGCACAGUAUUACUUUUGUAAACAUACACAAAAAAUAUUAUAUAUUUGCCAAACGUAUGUACUAAUCUAAAACCAAACACAUUAGACUAGGUACAUGUGGAGAAAGAGAUACAGGUGUUCCCUAGCAAGUUAAUAUGCUUGUGUCUCUUCAAACCAAUAUAUUGGCAUAUUUAUCUAAUAUUUAAUCAGAAGAAAGAAAGAACAGAAAGACCCAGGAAGCCUACUGUUAGUAGAGGUCAGCCUCAUCUUUUCUCUCUGAUUCAAGAAAUUCAUACUCAACUCAGUCAAACAGAGGUCCUGCAUUUACCUCUUGGUGCCGGAGAGCCUUGGUGAGCCAUUUAGAUCCUCUGUAUCUUCUCAAGCACAAUCCUCAGUGUUCUCUUCUCGUCUUAGAUAGCUCAUCAAAUAAUAUUUCCCACCACUUAUUUCUAGCAGUUCUGGUAAAGAGAAUGGCCUUCACAUUGUAUUUUGAACAAUGUUUUGGCCUCCAGUAAUGAUUAGGAACACACUAUAAACAUAAAACAUCAGUCCACUUAACUCAUUAUUCAGUCAUCAAGCAAUUCUUGUCCCAAUCAUUCUCCAAAGCUAUAUACUGUGAAUUUAUACUGUUGUGUAGUGACACAAGCCCUUCUGCUGAAAAAGUAGGUAGAUAAUUACUUUGAACUGAAAGAAAACACUUAUUUUAUUUUCUUUUAAACCUAAUUUAUUUUAAACCUAAUUUAUUUAUUUUAAACCUAAUUUAUUUUAAACCUAAUUUAUUUAUUUUAAACAUUUAUUUUAAACCUAAUUCAUUUGAACUGAACUUGAAUUUAAAAGCCUACAAAUGCCCCGCAUAUGUAGAAUUAUCAUUCAUUCCGUGUUCUUGCUCUUGGAUAAAACGGACAACUCAGAGAAAAAACUGGCUUAUAAAUGCACUUCACAAAAACUGUUAGAAAAGUAGCCAUUAAACCUGUAAAAAGGCCGGGCGCAGUGGCUGACGCCUGUAAUCCCAGCACUUUGAAAGGCCAAGGCGGUUGGAUCACGAGGCCAGGAGUCCGAGACCAGCCUGACCAACAUAGUGAAACCCCGUCUCUACUAAAAAUACAAAAAAUUAGCUGGGCGUAGUGGCGGGCGCCUGUAAUCCUAGCUACUCGGGAGGCUGAGGCAGGAGAAUCGCUUGAACCCGGGAGGCGGAGGUUGGAGCGAAAGUACGCGCCACUGUACUCCAGCCUGCGUGACGAUGAGAGUCUCCGUCUCGGGGGAAGAAAAAAAAAACCUGUAAAAAGUGGCUCAACUUUAAUAUUCAUUAGGAAAUGACUAAAAUCAAAUAUUUUACUUGGUAAUGCCAAGUAAAAAUACAGGAGAGGAUAUAGUGAAACUGGAGCUUACAUCCACUACUUGGGAAGUAUAAAUUGAUACAAUGGGUUUGAACAGUUUUUGUAUUUUCUACUAAAAUGAACAUACACAUAUCCUAUAAUCCAGAAAUCCCACUCCAUGGUGUGUACCCAACAAAAAUGCAUACAUGUGUGUACUAAAGGAUAUAAUAUGAUUUUUUUUUUUUUUUUUUUUUUUUUGAGAUAGGUUCUCACUCUGUUGCCCAGGCUGGAGUACAGUAGCGAUCUCUGCUCACUGCAAUCUCUGCCUCCUGGGUUCAAGCAAUCCUCCCACCUCAGUCUCCCCAGGAGCUGGGACUCUAGGUGCGUGCCACCACGCCCAGCUAAUUCUUUGUAGAGAUGGGGUUUUGCCAUGUUGUCCAGGCUGGUCUUGAACUCCUAGACUCAGGAAAUCCACCUGCCUUGGCCUCCCAAUAUGCUGGGAUUACAGGCAUGAGCCACCGCAUCUGGACACGAAUUUUUAAGUUUUAUAUAUGUGUGUGUAUAUAUAUAUAUAUAUAUAUAUAUAUAUAUAUAUUUUUUUUUUUUUUUUUUUUUUUUUUGCAUUGGCAAAAAAACAAAGAUAUUGUUUAGCAAUUUCCUUGUAUAAUGCAAUCAGUGGAAGACAAAUCAGAGGUAUUAUUUUCCCUUGGGCCUUUGCAGCCUGUGUUGUUUUUCUCUUUUUCAUAUUGAUGUGAAAAGCAGCCAAGUAUUAUUUGACAACAUCAGUCCCUUAUUAAGAUGUUAUUUCUAGUUUAUAAUUGACUAUGGCAUUUGCAUGCAUUUCAUCAUGUCUCCAUUUCUUCGGAAUGAUAAUUUCUAAUAUACUUUUCUUCUAUUAUAGGAAUAAGAAUUCAGUAGUCAUAUUUCCUGUUGCCUAUAAAAAAUUGAUGCUUUAAUUUAGUUAACAUGACAAACUCCAUCUUAUUUAGAGAGAUUAUUUUUGAUGUUAUUAUAAUAAAAAUGACACCUUUACUAAAAAUGUCUCAUCAUAAAUUGUUUUCCAUUAUUUCUGUGCUGAUUGCAAACAAUACUGAAUUAAAAUAUCCCUGCAAGUU